CCUACGGGGGGCAGCAGUGAGGAAUAUUGGUCAAUGGGAGAGAUCCUGAACCAGCCAAGCCGCGUGAGGGAAGACGGCCCUAUGGGUUGUAAACCUCUUUUGUCGGAGAACAAAACCCGGGACGUGUCCCGGACUGCGUGUAUCCGAAGAAAAAGCAUCGGCUAACUCCGUGCCAGCAGCCGCGGUAAUACGGGGGAUGCGAGCGUUAUCCGGAUUUAUUGGGUUUAAAGGGUGCGUAGGCGGCGCUUCAGGUCAGCGGUGAAAUACCGGGGCUCAACCCCGGGGCUGCCGUUGAAACCGGAGCG
This 305-nucleotide ribosomal RNA is filed under the name uncultured bacterium. Its description in RNAcentral is "bacterial SSU rRNA". It matches the Rfam family "Bacterial small subunit ribosomal RNA", at positions 338 to 640 of the family's 1533-position model. The record is from RNAcentral.